CAGCUCCACAGACUCUGGGUCCAGCACCUCAGGUUCCAAGAAGAGCUGGUGAGCCUCCUUGUGGAGCCAAUUUUCUGGCACAGGGUACUUGUUGGGGUCAAGUCGCCGCACGAUCUCCUCGAUGCUCUUGUGCUUCUGGAUGAGGUCCACAGCCCGCUUGGGCCCAAUACCCCGGAUACUCUCACAGUAGUCACUGCCUAGCAGGAUGCACAGAUCCACAAACUGUUCCUGGUUCAGGCCCAG
Molecule: unclassified non-coding RNA, 243 nt
Filed under: Hevea brasiliensis (rubber tree)
Lineage: Eukaryota; Viridiplantae; Streptophyta; Magnoliopsida; Malpighiales; Euphorbiaceae
Source: RNAcentral